UCGGGUUUAGGGUCCGAGGAGUCCGAGCAAAUAAUUCUCCCCCUGGGCCGUAGCAAGGGGGUGUCAGGGUGAGAGUUGGGGGCAUUUCUCAAGAAGCAAAACCAUCCCUCCCACCCCAGCUUCGGUAGCUGGGCCGGAGUCCGGGUUGAGAGCAAAAAUCCUGGUUGGUUUAGGCGAAGAGGAUUCCGGGGCAAAGUCGGAGCCGCGAGACCGCGCUUCGAGCAUCUCCCCUUCGGUCUCUGCCUCCUGUCCCCUGCCUGCUCCCCGUUUAAUUUUUUUUUUUUUUUUUUUUUUUUUGCCCCCUCGCCUUUAAUCUAAUUUCUUCCAACUCCACCUUUGUUGUUAACCGGCGUCACGCCCGGACUAGCCAAUCCCCGCCACGCAAUCAGCUUGUCAAAAAGGCUCGGCCAGCCCUGGGAAAACAGGCCGCGGGCACUGCCCCCCCAACCCUACCCCCCGCCCCCCGCACGGCGGCGGCGGCGGCGGCGGGGAGCCGCGAGGGGAGCCUUGCACCCCGGCCUCGCCGCCCGAGCCGCAGCGGGGCAGCCUCCUCGUAGGUUUCCGCUCUCCACCAUCCUGAGGGCCAGGGAUUUUAGGGCCUGGGCGGGGAUCGAAAGGCCUGGGCGGGACCACCAUCUACCCUCCCAUUGCCGUCGGCUGUGGUUGUCUGUCUCUGCCUCUCCUCCUCCGAGGAAGGUUCAUCUGGACGCAGGAAGCCAGAAGACAGUCUGAAGAACGCCUGCUUCCAAUCGGCGAGCUUACGGCUUGGGCCAUCGCUCCGGGGGCAGAGCCAUUGCUCCCGGGUCCCGGAAUGCCAGUCUACCACACCAACACUGCUACGGCCCACAUCUCGACCAGCUGGAUCACCGGCCCCUUUGGACUCUCCCCUGGCACACAGCCUUCUCCAUCCUCACACAACAGCCUCGCUGCUGCUGUAAUUCCUCUUGUCUCCUGGGAGAAAUGAGAUUCCUUUCCCAGGACUUCCAUAGCCCACAUCUGCCACGUUUCACAAACAAGGAGGAAAAUCCUGUCAAGGUCUGGUGUGUCUGGAUUCUUCAGUGGGUAGGGCAUGUAGGAGGGGCCGAUUUACCUUGAUGCUAUUGAAGCUUACGCUUCAGGGCUCCUCAUCGCAGGGCCUGUUCAAGGCCCUGUCCUUAAUUUUGAUUCAUCAUUUGGUAUUAUUUUUGAGUCUCCCCCUCCCCUCCAAUUGUACAAGUUUCAGCCCCACAAACCCAGCUCUGCCCUUGGAACCUACAGAGUGCAUUUUGUGUAGGACCAAGACAUCUCACACCGCACUUCGAGCCUGCAGGGACUGACUUUCUUGUUUUGACUGGGAAACAGCAAAGGGUUUGGAGUCAGAAGUCCCAGCUUCCGAGCUUCUCGGCUUCCCAACCUUCUUAACAGUACUCUUAUCCUCUCAAGAUAUCCCCCCUUUCUCAUCACUGGGCCAGCUCUUACUUUUCCCUCAGGAAUCAGAGUAAAUGUCUCCAGGAAUCCUUGCCAAACCUCAGCCGGCCUCUGCUCCCAGCACUCCCUGCAGAAUUACGCAUCAUUCUUGUUGAACGCCUGGCUCCCACGCAGACUGGAAGUCCUAUGAGAAUUGGAGCUAUGUCCACCUGCCUCUGCUAUUGACUCACCUACAUGGAAGGAUUCCCAAUUUGCCUCUUUGCAGCCAACCUCUCCUGUAUACAGCUCCCAGGUGAAUCACUUUCAUCAUGUCAUCCCCAGUUCUAGAACCUGCAGUGACUUGCUGGUGCCUAUUGAAUCAAACCCAAACUCUUCCUCUUGUGUAUAUUUAAUUACAUCAACAUUAAAUAUUUCUGUUCAAUGAGGUGGACAAAGUUAAGAGAGAGAUGACAAAAUGGGAGAAUAUUUUUGCAACGUCCAAAACCAACAUAGAUUCUUCCAGAUCUCUUGCAAAUCAACCUCCAAAAAGGCAUCAGUAGAAAUAUGAUCCAAUGAUGUAAAAAGACUUUAUAUAAGAGGAAACGUUAAAGACUAAUUGCCAAGUGCAAAGAUGCUCAAACUCUUUGGUGAUCAGACAAAUGCAAAUAAAACAACAGUGAGGGGGCUUCCCUGGUGGCGCAGUGGUUGAGAGUCCGCCUGCCGAUGCAGUGGACACAGGUUCGUGCCCCGGUCCAGGAAGAUCCCACAUGCCGCGGAGUGGCUGGGCCCGUGAGCCAUGGCUGUUGAGCCUGCGCGUCCGGAGCCUGUGCUCCGCAACGGGAGAGCCCACGACAGUGAGAGGCCCGCGUACCGCAAAAAAAAAAACACCCAAAAAACAGUGAGAUAAUACCUCAGUCGGGGUAGGAAAAAUCAGACAGCUGGAUAAUAUCAAUCAUAUGGGAAUAUAGGAACCUCCUGCUCUGCGUGUGGGAGUGUGGCCUGGUGCAGACAUUGCGGAGAAAAAUAUGGCUGUACUUAGUCAAAUGAAGACAGAUGUAUUUAUACCCUAUGACCUAGCAAGUCCACUCCUGGCUUCUACAUUUAUAACGCAGAGAGAUUCUCACUAGAUCCAUAAGAGGACAAGGCUGAGGAUGUGCAUUGCAGCAUUGCUUAUUGGAGGGGAGUUGGGUGCAGUCAGAUGUCCCUCCCUGGGAGAGUGAAGAGGCCAAAGGUGGGGAAUGCCCCCAUGGAGCACCCCACAGCAAUUAAAGCAACUCUGUUCCUGGCUGGAUCCAACUCAGGGCAACCUGGCUGGAUCUUAAAGCCACAGUGCUGGGUGCAAAGAGGACGAACAGUGCAAGGCCUAGAACACAGUGCUGGUAAUGUAUAGAAAUACACACACACUGUAUGGUCAGGCCAUUCAAGAUGGCUGUUCUCUCGCUCUGUGUACAUCCCCUGCCCGACCAGUGCCUGCUUCACCUACACCCUACGCACAUGACUGACCUUCCUAUGUGCUUGCCCCAGGCCCAGCUAGUGAUAGCUUAUCAAAGGGGUGGUGAGGGGCAUGCCUCUCUGCUGCUUUCCCUGGUAACUAACGAGCCAACCUGAUAUCAGUUCCCCCUGUGUGUGGCAGUCUCCCGUUCCCUUAGGGAGCAAAGACUGCCACCACGUCCUGUCUGCCGUACAUGGUGAGGUGUCGCUCCAGGACCUUGCUUCACACAUGUAAGCUCCCGCAGCCAUUAAACCAUCCAUGUGUCUAUUGCUGACUCUGGGCUCUUUCUUGGGUCUCAAAGCUGGGCAAUCACAGGGCUUGUAGGCCUGUGGGGUACAGCCCAACACACACAUACCCCCUGAAACCAACCAAAAAGAGGCAUUCUGAGAAAUUUAGUUAUGGAUUGAAUGCUAAUUUUGCUAAUUUUUUGCUAAUUUUGUUGGGUGUGACAAUGGCCCUGCGGUUGGGUUCAAAAAUGAUCAGUGCUGGGGGGGACGCAUAGCUGAAAGGCAUAAGGGUGAAAUGGCAUGACGUAUGAAAUUUACUUUCAAGUAUUUAGUUCAGCAGAGGGAAAAAAGAGAAAGUGUAUUUUAGGCAAAGAUUUAAGCAAGAUUUUAAGGCAAAAUCUUGAUAAUUUCUGCGUCUGGGAGAUGAGUAUAUGGUGGUUUGUUGUACUAUUGUCUCUACUUUUGUGUAUGUAUUAAAAUUCAUAAUAAAACUUAAAACAAUA
Orcinus orca (killer whale) is the source of this 3608-nucleotide long non-coding RNA. RefSeq lists it as uncharacterized. The record is from RefSeq and is a predicted model, not a curated record. The transcript is spliced from 2 exons. NCBI's taxonomy places the organism in Eukaryota, Metazoa, Chordata, Mammalia, Artiodactyla, Delphinidae.